Molecule: long non-coding RNA, 957 nt
Organism: Betta splendens (Siamese fighting fish)
Lineage: Eukaryota; Metazoa; Chordata; Actinopteri; Anabantiformes; Osphronemidae
Exons: 4
Source: RefSeq, a predicted model, not a curated record
CACACACACACACACACGAGAUAAUAGCCUUAAGUCCUGCACUGCAAUUGAAUCAGAGCUGGCCUCGCGUCAGCCGCAGCUGCUCUUAUUAGAGAGCAGAGAGGGUAAGAGACGCAAAAAGGGGGUGCAGGAGGGCGAGUGUGCGCUCAAAUACACAGCUACGAGCGGCUAAACGCACCGAUACGAACACACGUGCAGAGAAUGAGCAGAAAUCAGGCUGACAAAAAAGACUAGAUUCACGAGACCGGAAGUAAACUACUAAAAAGGCAGAGUAAAGAAGUGACACGGAGAAAGUAAAAUGAGACAGUGGUAGGUUUCACGUUGGUUUUAGCCUAAGUAGCCACAGGGGGUCAGCCUUGUUUACCUCUAAAUCUAUCAGCCAAAUAAUCAUGUGUAGAAUAUGGAAAUCCGUGAUUUACACCAACGGGACAUUGGAAACAAGCUAUUCAUUGAAAACUUAUGGCUGCGACCAGAUGACAUCACUGGCCCCAACCACGCUCACUAUACUAACAAGCACUCGCAAUCCACAUUUGUUUGGACAACCUCUUAAAAUAUUCAUAGUGAAGGCAUCUUCCAUCUUCUUUCUCUCCAUUUGACACUUGCUCAGACAGCCCUCACACAGGAAGCUCUCCUUGACCAGGUACAGCCUCUCGGCCGCCCCGGCCGCCCCGCCGCUGGGCGCCUGCUCCGUGGGGAUGGGGUUCCGCUCCAGGUUCACCCUCUCCAGCUUGCUGAGCCUAGCGAGGCAGGGCGGGACCCGGGUGAGCCGGUUGUCAGAGAGGCCCAGGUGGCGGAGGUCCUUCAACGCAGCGAUGAAGGUUCCUGCUCAGAUCCAGCUGAUCCACGUCGUGCAGCGCCUGGAUGCACUUCGGCACUGCGCCGAUCCCCUUGAAACUGAGAUCCAGCCGCCGUUUACCGUUCAGGAUCAGCUCCACGCAGUUCUGAGCCGUUUUCAAG